This 159-nucleotide ribosomal RNA is filed under the name uncultured bacterium. Its description in RNAcentral is "partial 16S ribosomal RNA". It matches the Rfam family "Bacterial small subunit ribosomal RNA", at positions 1342 to 1500 of the family's 1533-position model. The record is from RNAcentral.
UGGCAGGUCAGCAUACUGCCGUGAAUACGUUCCCGGGCCUUGUACACACCGCCCGUCACACCAUGAGAGUUGGGAAUACCCGAAGCCUGUGAGCUAACUGUAAGGAGGCAGCAGUCGAAGGUAGAAUCAAUGAUUGGGGUGAAGUCGUAACAAGGUACC